This 502-nucleotide ribosomal RNA is filed under the name uncultured eukaryote. RNAcentral's name for it is "bacterial SSU rRNA". It matches the Rfam family "Eukaryotic small subunit ribosomal RNA", at positions 56 to 427 of the family's 1831-position model. The record is from RNAcentral.
GUAAGAAAUCUAUCGCAUAGGGAAUACUUAUCUCUAUGAUGAACUAGACAUCUGUGGAUUGCUCAUUAAAAGAGUUUUAUACUCAGCCACUGGAAAAUGAUGAAAUUUAUUUUAUCAUUAAAUGGAUAACGCUGUUAACUUCUGCGAUAAUACAUGUCUUAUACAGAGUUGAGAUUGGAUUGUCAGUCUUGAUUCAGUAAUAGGGGAGAAAUGAUGGACCUCUAUUAAAACCAUAUUAUUGAUUAUCGAAACCAGGUUUACCUGGAGGUAGGUAGUUAAAUGAUUGGUUAUUGACCGACUUGAAUCAAAAUGAAUUUUCUCCUGGGUUUUAAUCGGCUUAGGAAAGAAGAAUUCAGAAAGUUGGCCCAGAGGAAGUGAUUCUUACCUAUCAGUUUCUGAUGCUCAAGUAAGGUUUGAGCUUGACUAUUACGGGUACGGGGAAUUAGUGUUCAAAAUCCGGAGAGGGAGCCUGAGAAAUAGCUACCACAUCUAAGGACGGCAG